CUCCAGACUCCUACGGGAGGCAGCAGUGGGGAAUAUUGCACAAUGGGGGAAACCCUGAUGCAGCGACGCCGCGUGAGUGAGGAAGUAUUUCGGUAUGUAAAGCUCUAUCAGCAGGGAAGAAAAUGACGGUACCUGACAAAGAAGCCCCGGCUAACUACGUGCCAGCAGCCGCGGUAAUACGUAGGGGGCAAGCGUUAUCCGGAUUUACUGGGUGUAAAGGGAGCGUAGACGGCAUGGCAAGUCAGAUGUGAAAGCCCGGGGCUCAACCCCGGGACUGCAUUUGAAACUGUCAGGCUGGAGUGCAGGAGAGGUAAGUGGAAUUCCUAGUGUAGCGGUGAAAUGCGUAGAUAUUAGGAGGAACACCGGCGGCGAAGGCGGCCUGCUGGACUGAAACUGACGUUGAGGCUCGAAAGCGUGGGGAGCAAACAGGAUUAGAUACCCUUGUA
RNAcentral lists this ribosomal RNA (446 nucleotides) under uncultured bacterium. RNAcentral describes it as "bacterial SSU rRNA". It matches the Rfam family "Bacterial small subunit ribosomal RNA", at positions 329 to 792 of the family's 1533-position model. The record is from RNAcentral.